Molecule: ribosomal RNA, 1441 nt
Filed under: Limosilactobacillus fermentum
Lineage: Bacteria; Bacillati; Bacillota; Bacilli; Lactobacillales; Lactobacillaceae
Description: bacterial SSU rRNA
Rfam family: Bacterial small subunit ribosomal RNA
Source: RNAcentral
AGUCGAACGCGUUGGCCCAAUUGAUUGACGGUGCUUGCACCUGAUUGAUUUUGGUCGCCAACGAGUGGCGGACGGGUGAGUAACACGUAGGUAACCUGCCCAGAAGCGGGGGACAACAUUUGGAAACAGAUGCUAAUACCGCAUAACAGCGUUGUUCGCAUGAACAACGCUUAAAAGAUGGCUUCUCGCUAUCACUUCUGGAUGGACCUGCGGUGCAUUAGCUUGUUGGUGGGGUAACGGCCUACCAAGGCGAUGAUGCAUAGCCGAGUUGAGAGACUGAUCGGCCACAAUGGGACUGAGACACGGCCCAUACUCCUACGGGAGGCAGCAGUAGGGAAUCUUCCACAAUGGGCGCAAGCCUGAUGGAGCAACACCGCGUGAGUGAAGAAGGGUUUCGGCUCGUAAAGCUCUGUUGUUAAAGAAGAACACGUAUGAGAGUAACUGUUCAUACGUUGACGGUAUUUAACCAGAAAGUCACGGCUAACUACGUGCCAGCAGCCGCGGUAAUACGUAGGUGGCAAGCGUUAUCCGGAUUUAUUGGGCGUAAAGAGAGUGCAGGCGGUUUUCUAAGUCUGAUGUGAAAGCCUUCGGCUUAACCGGAGAAGUGCAUCGGAAACUGGAUAACUUGAGUGCAGAAGAGGGUAGUGGAACUCCAUGUGUAGCGGUGGAAUGCGUAGAUAUAUGGAAGAACACCAGUGGCGAAGGCGGCUACCUGGUCUGCAACUGACGCUGAGACUCGAAAGCAUGGGUAGCGAACAGGAUUAGAUACCCUGGUAGUCCAUGCCGUAAACGAUGAGUGCUAGGUGUUGGAGGGUUUCCGCCCUUCAGUGCCGGAGCUAACGCAUUAAGCACUCCGCCUGGGGAGUACGACCGCAAGGUUGAAACUCAAAGGAAUUGACGGGGGCCCGCACAAGCGGUGGAGCAUGUGGUUUAAUUCGAAGCUACGCGAAGAACCUUACCAGGUCUUGACAUCUUGCGCCAACCCUAGAGAUAGGGCGUUUCCUUCGGGAACGCAAUGACAGGUGGUGCAUGGUCGUCGUCAGCUCGUGUCGUGAGAUGUUGGGUUAAGUCCCGCAACGAGCGCAACCCUUGUUACUAGUUGCCAGCAUUAAGUUGGGCACUCUAGUGAGACUGCCGGUGACAAACCGGAGGAAGGUGGGGACGACGUCAGAUCAUCAUGCCCCUUAUGACCUGGGCUACACACGUGCUACAAUGGACGGUACAACGAGUCGCGAACUCGCGAGGGCAAGCAAAUCUCUUAAAACCGUUCUCAGUUCGGACUGCAGGCUGCAACUCGCCUGCACGAAGUCGGAAUCGCUAGUAAUCGCGGAUCAGCAUGCCGCGGUGAAUACGUUCCCGGGCCUUGUACACACCGCCCGUCACACCAUGAGAGUUUGUAACACCCAAAGUCGGCUGGGGUAACCUUUUAGGAGCCAGCCGC